This is an RNA transcript of Amaranthus tricolor (Joseph's coat), 4132 nucleotides long. It is a transcript of the gene named zinc finger protein ZOP1, with no coding region annotated. The transcript has 7 exons. Lineage: Eukaryota; Viridiplantae; Streptophyta; Magnoliopsida; Caryophyllales; Amaranthaceae. The record is from RefSeq and is a predicted model, not a curated record.
UCGAUAAAAUGAGGGGAAAAGAAAAGAAAACGUAAAAAAGCAGAGAAAAAAGAAGUCGACGGGCGACAGAAAAAUAUCGCAGAAGAAAAAGAAAAGAGACCAAAAAGCAGAAGAAGACGGCUCCGAGUGUAGGCACGCCGGAGAUCCGGUGACCCAUUGAACCAUUGAAGCGUUUACCGUUAAGCUGUUGCAACGGUGGUUCGGGUAUAGAUUGACAAGUAUUGGGCUCUGAUCCCUGAAAAGUUUGAGGAUCUUUAAUAAUCUAAGCCACACUAACCAUGACGGAGUAUUGGGUGAGCCAGGGCAACAAAUGGUGCGAUUUUUGCAAAAUAUUUUUGACAAACAAUCCAAAUACAAUUAGGAACCAUGAACUUGGGCAACGUCACAAGGAAAAUGUGGCUAAGCGUCUUACUGAUAUGCGCAAAGAGAAGGCUGCUAAGGAGAAACAAGAAAAGGAAGCUGCUAAUACGUUGCAGCAAAUCGAAGCUAAAGCUAUUCGCAGUUACCAGAAAGAUGUAGCAUCUCAAGAAAGCAAGCAGUCACAGGCCCCUACUGAUUCUGUAACUGGUGACACAGCCUGGGAAUAUGACAAUACUUCCGGGUACUAUUAUGACCAACAUACUCGCAUUCACUAUGAUCCAAAGUCUGGCUUCUACUACUCUGAUGUUUUAGGUAAGUGGGUGACGCAAGAGGAGGCAUUUGCAGCCACUAAAAAUUCUGCUGGCUCCACACAAAAGAUGCCUUUGAAAAAUUCACCGGCAUCAUCUACUUCAGGUAAAUCUACUUUCAAGAAAGAUGAUGCUAAAAUCACAAGCGGACGUGCACCUGGGACCGUUGUUUCUGGGUCCCUAAAUCCCACACGAUCUGUAAAAGGUGCUCCUUCAUCAGUUGCUGUUGGAAAGAGGAAGAGGCCUGUUGAGAAAACAAAGGCAAUAACUGCAGAAGAAGCUGCUGCACUUAAAGCAAGGGAGGCAGCUAAGAAAAGAGUGGAAGAAAGAGAGAAGAGUUUGCUUGGACUUUAUGGUAAUUAAAAUUUACUAGAUUCGAACAGAAGCUGGAUCCACAAAAGCUAUUUCAGACUUCGAACCUGCAAUUGGGAACGGGUGGUCUAAUUUUUAUAUGGCUAAAGCAGGGAGAUGAUCACAUGCUUCUCGUGCUGUUUGAUUUUUUUCUACAAUGUUGCUAUCCAAUUUAUCCUUUAGAAGCCUUUUCUUGACGAUAGAAAACAAAGCAAGUGGAAGUCGAGUUGCAAAAAGGUGUAGUUGAUUGAUUUACACUGUUGCUUUCCUUUAUGGCAUUCCUUUUUGUAGCCUAUGAUCUAGGCAAAUCCAUGAACUUCGUAGUCCAUAUGUGAGUGUCUAGCCGCGUUGGCAGGAAACAAUUUUUGACUGAAUGUUUCCAAUUUCAUUCGGUUAGAAAUUGUGGGAGCUGACAGUUGACGGUUCCUUAAGACGGACUUUCUGUUUCAUUUUAUUUGUUGAUUUUAACUGUACCAUUGCAAUUGGAUGUGACCUUAUUUCAGAGAACUUACAGAUUCCUAUCUUAUUAGCUUUUCAACGUAUAUUGAAUUUUAUAUCCAUCUCUUGAUGUUUGGUUAGUUUGCAAGUAAAGAAGUAUUGCUUUUAUUCCCUUCAAUUUUUAUUGUGUAAUCUUUGUUCUGCUUUCAAGUUUCAGCCAUGCCACUCAUGCCGAUAGGCGAUAUGCGUUAGGGAAGCUACAAAAACCAUCCUAUCUCGAGGUUAGUGUUCUUUAAAUUGGUAAAAAAUUGACACCAAGCCUCGAAUUAGUAUUGCUCAUGGCAAUUGACAAUCGUCAAGCCGCAAUUUACCAAAAAUAUGUUUAUAGUUGAAUAUUAACGUUGCGCGUCUUUAAAGAAUAUUAGUUUUGAGUGGUUGGUUGAUUUUAGAGGUGUUUAUUUGGCUUAUUGGGUCGAUUUCGGAUCGUUUCAAAAUCGGAUUUUGAGUCCACAUUGAUUUUUACAGAAUGUAAGUUCAUUUUGAUGUCAAGUUUGGUUAUAAGGUUGGAUAAAUAUCAGAUCAUCGAAUUUGUUUUGAACACCUAAAUGAGUAUUAAAAUGCCCACCUAUUAAGCACACAUCUUGAGAGGUUACCUUUGAAUGGUGUAUGUGCCUUUGAAAAGUUGCAUUUUUCGGAAUAACAUACAUGCUCGUCGAAAUGAGCAUCAAUAUGCAUCCAUUUUGAAGGCACACUUCAUAACAACUUUAAACGGUGCUUUUAACUUUUGAAAUAAUCUUUGAGAAUUCAAAUCGAGUAAUCUUAAGGGGAAUUUCGCAAAGUCAAUCAAAAUUAAUACUGCUCUUUCAACUUCAAAACUCGAUAUACCUAAGAAAUGUUUACGAAAAUUAAGAAAAAAAAUAAAUUUUCUAGGUAAUGAAUAUAAUAUUUUUAUGAAUAAUAAAGUUAAUUGAGGAAAAAUGAGUAUCAUAAGCAUCAAAAAAUAUUAAAAUAUAAACAGUUAGAUAAAAUUAGUAGAAAAAUUAUAUGAAUCACAAUUAUUAUAAAUAUUUAAAUAAGUUAAUAGAAAAUAUGUAAAAAUCCUAGAAAUUGGUGUAAAAUAUAGAGACCAUAUAUAUAAAUAAAAUAUAAUUUGAUGAAAAAGGUUAAUUAUAUUUAGAAUUUGUAAUAUAAAUAGACUAAUUUUUUAGUGUAACAACAAAUAAAACACUCAAAACAGCAAAUGAGAACAUUUAGGAACAGAGGGUAUUAUAUUUAGACCUGCUUGUUGUUGUACUUGGACGACCUUGAAUGGUAAUUUAACUUUAAAAAUGAUAUUUUUAAGGGAAACAUUAGAAGUAUUUUUUUUUGCAUGCGUAGAUAAUUUGUCACGCUUUAUGUGAGAAAUACAAACGUAUUUUGAAAGGAAAAGACGCUCUUUAAGUGGAAUACAUGUGAUUUUUCAAUGAACAUGAGUGAUUUAAAGAAACAUCAUAAAUUUGUUGCAUAUUAUUAUAAGAAUAUUUGGUAUGAACAUGAAAAUCGUGCACAAGUAAAUGAAUUUUUCAAAAAAAUAAGAAUACUUUUAAAAGAACAUAUAACAUUUUCAAAAAAGCAUGAGAAACUUUCAUAGGAAUAUGACUAUAUGACUAAUUUGAAGUGGAAUAUAAGAAUUUUCAGAAAAAAAAAAAUCAGUUAUUUUCAAAGAAACACCAACAUGUUUACAACCCACAAAACUCUUCAAGUCUAUAUUCCAUGAAGCAUACACACGGGAAGGCAAAGACUUCUAAAUACAAAAGACUUUUUUUUAUGCACAAAAAGAAAACUCUAAUUAGUAAAAUGCAACUUGAGAGACAAGACGAAUCCAGGAUAUUAGUAUACGUAUUAAGUGGGCUAAACAAUGUAGGUGUGCUUAAACAACUCAAUUGCCAAUCUUAUUUGUUAUAUGGUACUGUAGAUGACGCCAACAACUUUUUAUUGCCCUGAUGCCAUUAAGUGGCUCUCAUCUAGGGUGAAGUUUGAGGGGUAGAAUGCAUGCAACAUUACUCUUGUUAUAUACUUGUUAGAGAAGUUGUUUCCAACUGAAUCUUAGUAGUAGAUAUAAUUUGCGAGUUCACUAAAUAAAAGGUGUACAUGAUUUAAUAAGUCAUUUUACUAUAAUUUACACAAAGAAAAUGCUUUUAAAAACUUGAUUCUUUGUAUUUUUGCAAGAUAAUGGCGAACUAUAUCCUUAGUUGAUCAAAUUUGAAUCGAUGAGCUCGAAGUUGCGAGUAGAGCUUUAGGUUCCAAAUUAUGUCGAGUAUGAGUGUAUGACAACACCAAAUUAGCUUUUAAGAUUUUGGUUGAUUAUAGUACAACUACGACACUGAAUUGAGAAUCAUGUAUUGAUUUAGUGGUUGAAGACGGUUUAUUUCAUUUUCGUUAUAAGUGUUGAAGAUCAAUUUCUUCUCCCUUUUGCAUAUAGGGAUUUUCGUUGCCCCAAAAAAAAAAAAAAAAAGACAGUAUGAGCUCUAAUGCAGUUUGUGUAAUUUAAUUUUCAAUUUAUAAUUCUUUUAUAUCAAUCAAUUUUCAUUAAAUUCAUUAUAGUGAUCUGCUUUAAAAACCAAUCAAUAUACAAUUCGUUGAAUCUUCGAGAAAGAUAGGACGUUUUGUACAAAUUUUCAUCAACAAUGGCCUUC